Molecule: long non-coding RNA, 1054 nt
Organism: Felis catus (domestic cat)
Lineage: Eukaryota; Metazoa; Chordata; Mammalia; Carnivora; Felidae
Exons: 3
Source: RefSeq, a predicted model, not a curated record
GGUGUUGAGGUGAUCAUCAAUUUCAGGAAUGAAAGAGUGGUUGGAUUCCAUGUGUUCAGAAGGAAUCCAAUGCAAGCCUUCAAGCUUAGCUCAACUCUUGUACUGGUGACCACGAGGAUUAAAGAUUACUAAUGUAAGUUCUGUGAGGCACGGGCCCUGAUGAUCUUAUUUGCUGCCUACCUCAGAGUCCCUACUAUAGAGCUGGCACUCAGUAAAUACCUGUGGAAUGAGUUAUGACUGGAAUGAGGACUCAGGAUGGACAAAUGUGUGUCUCCUGUGAUGGGGCCCUCAGAGGCAGGGACAAGGAGGUAUGUAGGGUGAUUGCCCUGAGACCCUGAAAUGAUGCCGGAAGAGUGAGCAUCUGGGAGAUCUGCCCUCGUUCCCAGUCUUCCAUCUUCACAACCUCAGGACUUUCAGUCAACCAAGCCUCCUGUGAAAUUUACCUAGUGUCUCCGGCUCACAUGGAGCUCUUUCCUCCCGACUCCACCCUGUCUAGCAGGAGGCCUGGCUAAUGCUCACCAUCCCACAAAGAACCCUGCCUGCCACAGCUGGAGCUCUUCCUAGAAGGGAUAAUGCUGAUGGAUCACUUCAGGACCAUGUGAACAUCUGCGUCUGGACUACACUCACGCAAAGGGGUAAGAUCAUGGCCUCAGACCCAAGUUUCCAGACAACUGAAGACUGACUUCCUUAUUUUUGUUGAUGGCAUCAUCUCCCACCACCUGGGUUUGGUUGGUUCCAUCUACCUGUCCAAUCUUCUACAGAAUGCAUAGACAAAUGGGGAUAGAUAUCCAGGAGGGCUCUCUAGAUAUGGGAGGAAAGUUGAAGGGCUCAUUCCAAAAAGGUUCUCUUUGGAGGGAUGGAAGAUGCAAAAUGUAUUCCAGCAGGACAUGUUAAAUCCAGGAGGUAAUGGGAAGGAAGGAAGAGACUGAAAUGGGUCAUUGUGAUGAGGGGAGGCGGGUCUCCUCCAGCCUCCCCCUGUGAGGUCCCUGAUGAAAUACAACAAAAUGCUAGUUUCUUGGCUUUCUGGGCUGGAACAGCUGCAACAGGACUUCAU